CCCUUUUUAAAAGCACUCAGUGGGCCUGUGGCUAAUGACCUGUUGAGCCGUCAAGAAAGGGAAGAAUGAAAACACCGCUUUUGGGUGAAGCGGCAGCAUGAUGUGUUGUUUUGCUUCAAUCAGUGGUGUGACAAGG
This 136-nucleotide small nucleolar RNA is filed under the name Sapajus apella (tufted capuchin). The record is from RNAcentral. RNAcentral also lists the same sequence under 1 other name. Lineage: Eukaryota; Metazoa; Chordata; Mammalia; Primates; Cebidae.